CGCUGGCGGCGUGCUUAACACAUGCAAGUCGAACGGUGACGAGGAGCUUGCUCCUCUGAUCAGUGGCGAACGGGUGAGUAACACGUGAGCAACCUGCCCCAGACUCUGGGAUAACAGUUGGAAACAGCUGCUAAUACCGGAUACGAGACGGAGAGGCAUCUCUACCGUCUGGAAAGUUUUCGGUCUGGGAUGGACUCGCGGCCUAUCAGCUAGUUGGUGAGGUAAUGGCUCACCAAGGCGACGACGGGUAGCCGGCCUGAGAGGGCGACCGGCCACACUGGGACUGAGACACGGCCCAGACUCCUACGGGAGGCAGCAGUGGGGAAUAUUGCACAAUGGGCGAAAGCCUGAUGCAGCGACGCCGCGUGAGGGAUGAAGGCCUUCGGGUUGUAAACCUCUUUCAGCAGGGAAGAAGCGAAAGUGACGGUACCUGCAGAAGAAGCACCGGCUAACUACGUG
This 459-nucleotide ribosomal RNA is filed under the name uncultured bacterium. Its description in RNAcentral is "bacterial SSU rRNA". It matches the Rfam family "Bacterial small subunit ribosomal RNA", at positions 34 to 507 of the family's 1533-position model. The record is from RNAcentral.